CAGCAGGAAGGUGUAGCCACAAGGCUCCUGAGGUGUAUGUGUUAUCAGUCUCGACAUCCAAACCGAAUUUGGGUUGAAGGAUCCAUCCUGUCUCUGUGGUGUGACUACAACAACUGGCCCUGUGAGCAGGACAUCAAGGGUAUAUAUAGAGAGGCCAGGAGCCUUGGAGUAGAGCACACUGUUGCUACUGACAUGGCAGAGGAAACUACAAU
Mesoplodon densirostris (Blainville's beaked whale) is the source of this 212-nucleotide long non-coding RNA. RefSeq lists it as uncharacterized. The transcript has 3 exons. The record is from RefSeq and is a predicted model, not a curated record. Lineage: Eukaryota; Metazoa; Chordata; Mammalia; Artiodactyla; Ziphiidae.